GAGUCAUUGGGACUCAAUGUUAAACCUAAAGGCGCAAUGAAAGUAAAGGUCCGCCUCGCGCGGACCGAGGGAGGAUGGGCCCGUCCGCGGACGGGCCCCGCACUCCCGGGGCGUCUCGUUCUCACAGCGAGAAGAGGCGCACCCAGAGCGUACACGCUGGGACCCGAAAGAUGGUGAACUAUGCCUGGUCAGGACGAAGUCAGGGGAAACCCUGAUGGAGGUCCGUAGCGAUUCUGACGUGCAAAUCGAUCGUCGGAACUGGGUAUAGG
This 269-nucleotide ribosomal RNA is filed under the name Pseudoarachnodes hanskii. RNAcentral's name for it is "partial 28S ribosomal RNA". It matches the Rfam family "Eukaryotic large subunit ribosomal RNA", at positions 688 to 921 of the family's 3401-position model. The record is from RNAcentral. Lineage: Eukaryota; Metazoa; Arthropoda; Insecta; Coleoptera; Scarabaeidae.